CCUCAACUUUUCAUCCUCUGAAGCAGCCCUCCCUGGGCAUUUUCAUAAUGAGGGACCGGUCCCAGGUCAGGGAGACCGGUCCCCGAGAGCCUCCCUCUCGGGCAGAGGAAAUUUCGCGUUCGGGAACCGGUCCCUGCUCGAGAGACCGGUCCCCGGGAGACCGGUCCUUGCCUGAGAGACCGGUUCCCGAGAGUGGUAUUUUCGGGACUUAGCCAAAUUUCUACCUCUUCUCGCUGGGUUAACGUUCGGGGACCGGUCCCUCCUUGCCAGAGACCGGUUGCAUCAAGGAUCCC
RNAcentral lists this long non-coding RNA (293 nucleotides) under Ananas comosus (pineapple). RNAcentral's name for it is "long non-coding RNA (ACOM_LNC039200)". The record is from RNAcentral. Lineage: Eukaryota; Viridiplantae; Streptophyta; Magnoliopsida; Poales; Bromeliaceae.